ACUCUAUUUUAUUUUCUUCGGAAAUGAAGAUUUUGUGACUGAGUGGCGGACGGGUGAGUAACGCGUGGGUAACCUGCCACAUACAGGGGGAUAACAGUUGGAAACGACUGCUAAUACCGCAUAAGCGCACAGGACCGCAUGGUCCGGUGUGAAAAACUCCGGUGGUAUGGGAUGGACCCGCGUCUGAUUAGCCAGUUGGCAGGGUAACGGCCUACCAAAGCGACGAUCAGUAGCCGACCUGAGAGGGUGACCGGCCACAUUGGGACUGAGACACGGCCCAAACUCCUACGGGAGGCAGCAGUGGGGAAUAUUGCACAAUGGGGGAAACCCUGAUGCAGCGACGCCGCGUGAGCGAAGAAGUAUUUCGGUAUGUAAAGCUCUAUCAGCAGGGAAGAAGAAUGACGGUACCUGACUAAGAAGCACCGGCUAAAUACGUGCCAGCAGCCGCGGUAAUACGUAUGGUGCAAGCGUUAUCCGGAUUUACUGGGUGUAAAGGGAGCGCAGGCGGUGCGGCAAGUCUGAUGUGAAAGCCCGGGGUUCAACCCCGGUACUGCAUUGGAAACUGUCGUACUAGAGUGUCGGAGGGGUAAGUGGAAUUCCUAGUGUAGCGGUGAAAUGCGUAGAUAUUAAGAGGAACACCAGUGGCGAACGCGGCUUACUGGACGAUAACUGACGCUGA
This 679-nucleotide ribosomal RNA is filed under the name uncultured bacterium. Its description in RNAcentral is "bacterial SSU rRNA". It matches the Rfam family "Bacterial small subunit ribosomal RNA", at positions 66 to 749 of the family's 1533-position model. The record is from RNAcentral.